GGGUCAUUAGGUUGGUCGUGCCACCGGUACGUACUGGUCUAACUGAUUCCUCCUUCCUGAAGAACCGUAAUGCCAUUAAUUUGGUGUUGCGGGGAAACAGGACUGUUACUUUGAAAAAAUUAGAGUGUUUAAAGCAAGCUAACGCUUGAAUUCAUUAGCAUGGAAUAAUGAAAUAGGACGAUCGAUCCUAUUUUGUUGGUUUCUAGGAUUGACGUA
RNAcentral lists this ribosomal RNA (216 nucleotides) under Glomeromycotina sp. Its description in RNAcentral is "partial small subunit ribosomal RNA". The stretch from base 40 to 216 matches the Rfam family "Eukaryotic small subunit ribosomal RNA", at positions 686 to 864 of the family's 1831-position model. The record is from RNAcentral. Lineage: Eukaryota; Fungi; Glomeromycota.